AACGCACCUUGCGCUCCUUGGUAUUCCGAGGAGCAUGCCUGUUUGAGUGUCAUUAAAUUCUCAAUCUUCACCAUCUUGUGUUGAUUGGAUGUGGGAGUUUAUGUAGGAUUUUUUCGUGAAGUUCUACUCUCCUAAAAUGUAUUAGCUGGAAUGCCUUUGCAAAGCCAACUAUCAGUGUGAUAAUUAUCUAUGCUGGAGUUGCUGCAUAAAGGGAAUCUGCUUCUUAACCGUCCCUCUGGACAAUAUGAAUCAUUUUGACCUCAAAUCAGGUAGGACUACCCGCUGAACUUAA
Molecule: unclassified non-coding RNA, 292 nt
Filed under: uncultured Conocybe
Lineage: Eukaryota; Fungi; Basidiomycota; Agaricomycetes; Agaricales; Bolbitiaceae
Description: sequence contains ITS2
Rfam family: 5.8S ribosomal RNA (bases 1-52)
Source: RNAcentral